This 253-nucleotide long non-coding RNA is filed under the name Brachypodium distachyon (stiff brome). RNAcentral's name for it is "long non-coding RNA (BDIS_LNC005872)". Lineage: Eukaryota; Viridiplantae; Streptophyta; Magnoliopsida; Poales; Poaceae. The record is from RNAcentral.
GUUCUCCAAGCAUUUUGGUAUAUAAAACUACGGCAAAUCUAAAAACCGUAGUAUUCUAAAAAAACUGAGCUCCCAAACAUAGCCUUAGUGUCAAAAAGAAGUUCUGAAUACUCCGUAGGAGUAGCAUUUUUCCUCUUUUCCACUACUACUAAAUUAAAUCCAGAACGCUCACAAAUUCUUUAAGUUCCAAUCAAACAUUGCAUACUUCAAAUGUAGGAAUUAAUCAAUCUAAAGGAGGCAAAAAUGGACGGCA